ACAGACCUGAGCGCGGCAGGACUACCCGCCGAACUUAAGCAUAUUAUUCAGCGGAGGAAAAGAAAACAACCGUGAUUCCCUCAGYCAGCGGCGAGCGAAGAGGGAUCCAACUCGAUGCUGAAUCGGAGCAAUCCGACUUGUAGCAUUCAAGAGGUUACGUGGAUGGUGCGGGACUGGCGAAAUUCAACGCGCAAAGCAAACCCAUUGCUGAACACAACCCCUCAUGUGAGUAUUGAGCCAUAGAAGGUGUCAGCCCAUUGAGCCAGAAACCCAGCGCCACAUUUGAUCUCACCAAACGAGUAGCACUGCUUGGGAGUGCAGUGUGAAUCGGCAGGUAUGUGUCUGCCAAAGUUAAAUACAGAGUAGGAAGACCGAUAGCGAA
This 382-nucleotide ribosomal RNA is filed under the name Dimastigella trypaniformis. Its description in RNAcentral is "eukaryotic LSU rRNA". It matches the Rfam family "Eukaryotic large subunit ribosomal RNA", at positions 1 to 344 of the family's 3401-position model. The record is from RNAcentral. Lineage: Eukaryota; Euglenozoa; Kinetoplastea; Neobodonida; Rhynchomonadidae.